AGAGUGCUGGGAUUACAGGCAUGAGCCACCCCUUGCCCUGCCCAGCCAUUUACUUUUUAAAGAAGCUGUGGAUGGUUCAUCUUACUGAAGAAAAGUAGAAAAACUCACCACAAAUGUAUUCUCUGUUAACCUCUUUGGUACAAGCAUUGACUAUAGUCGACACCCACAGAUGAAUGUGCACAGCCGAGCAUUGACUAUAGUCGAUAGCCACGAAUGAGCGACUUUAGCCGACAGCCGUGAUAUGACUUUUCUAAUUUUUCAUUUAUCAAAAUAAAAUUGUGGGUCUUUCCUCCCGUGCCUGACGUGGUGUCUUGGGCCCUUCAUUCUUGGACAUUCCCUCGGCCCUUCCAGGGCUCGCCCAGAGGAAGGAGUGGAGAAGGUGCCCUGGUUGGCAUGGCCGGUGCCGAAGGGGGAGGGGGCUGAGCCCGUCCCGGCUGUGGGGAAGCGACAGGCCGGCUGGCGGGCUGAGGCUGAGCCUACUCGUUCAAGGUGGUAUUGCUGGGGGAAGGCUGUGUGGGGAAGAUGUUGCUGGUGCUGCGCUACUGCGGGAACAAGUUUAAGGACAAGCACAUCACCACUAUGCAGGCAUCAUUCUUAACAAAGAAGUUAAAUAUUGGCGGGAAAAGAGUAAACCUUGCCAUAUGGGAUACAGCAAGUCAAGAGAGAUUCCAUGCCUUUGGCCCAAUUUACUACAGAGAUUCAAAUGGAACUAUUUUAGUUUAUGACAUAACAGAUGAAGAUUCUUUUCAGAAGGUAAAAAACUGGGUCAAAGAAUUACAGAAAAUGUUGGGAAAUGAAAUCUGUUUAUGUAUAGUUGGUAAUAAAAUAGACUUGGAAAAGGAGAGAUAUGUUUCCAUUCAAGAGGCAGAAUCAUAUGCAGAAUCUAUGGGAGCAAAACAUUAUCAUACUUCAGCCAAACAGAACAAAGGAAUUGAGGAACUCUUUCUUGACCUUUGUAAAAGGAUGAUAGAAACACAGCACAAGUGGACGAGAGAGCAAAAGGCAAUGGCUCUAGUCAACCAGAAACUGCAAGGCGAGGUGUACAGAUUAUUGAUGAUGAACCUCAGAUGCAGAGUGGAGGUGGAGGGUGCUGUUCUUCUGGAUAACUGUUCACACCUAAGAAAUUAAAACAAAACUGGAUCAUUGCCCUCAACAUGAAGACUGCCAUAUUCCAAGUCACAUUAUUUUACCAACGGAGUUAUAGAAUUAGCAGUAUUUUAAAUUACAUUUAUAACACUGCAGAGACCUUAAGUGCUAAACUUAGUGGAGUUUGUGACCAGAGAAUUGGCAUUUUCUACAAAUGUUAACAAAGCAAUUACCAAUGGCCUUUUUACAUAUUUUUUUCUUUAAUGAGGAAUAAUAUGCAUGUAGAAAAGACCUACUUAAAGGCUUCAUUUAUAUUCUUUUAAAUCAAAUCUUUAUUUAAUAACUUACAUAUGUUGUGGGAAUGGUAUACAUUUUUGCAGCCCUUUGUAUUUUGUGGUAGUUUGAAUUGUAUCACUUCUAAACAGCAAACUGUUUUUUUUUUUUUUUUUUUUUUUAAUUAGCAGAUACCUGAAGUACUAUUUUUGCAGGGUUUGCACAGGCCCCUAACUGUCUACUACUUUGAUAUAAUCUAUAUACAUCCUGUAUGCUGAGCUGGUAAAAUAGAUUGUAAAUUACAUAUUAAAUAUUUUAUCUGCUUUUACAAGUGCAAAGUGCAAAAAUAUAUACAGUAGUUUCAUUGAUGACUGUAAAGUGAAUUAACAUUUGGUGAUAAUGCCUAAGCUUUUUGACUCUGAUAUAAAGAUCAUAGCUCCCCUUCACUUUUGUCUUAACUUGAAUGUGGCGUGUUUAAAUUUUCACACAUAUUUUACUUGAAUUAUUGCUGUUGUCACAUA
This is a non-coding RNA of Microcebus murinus (gray mouse lemur), 1880 nucleotides long. NCBI's taxonomy places the organism in Eukaryota, Metazoa, Chordata, Mammalia, Primates, Cheirogaleidae. The record is from RefSeq and is a predicted model, not a curated record.